RNAcentral lists this long non-coding RNA (1459 nucleotides) under Medicago truncatula (barrel medic). RNAcentral describes it as "long non-coding RNA (MTRU_LNC006883)". Lineage: Eukaryota; Viridiplantae; Streptophyta; Magnoliopsida; Fabales; Fabaceae. The record is from RNAcentral.
AACUUUUUUGUGGUCUAUAAUGGAAUGAUCCACUUCUUUCAAAGAAGGGACCUCUAUUUAUAUAUUUUCAAAAUUAGAUUUUCAUUCGGCAAAUGUUGCUCGCCUAGCGAAUCUGAGCUUUCUUUAAAUGGAGGAAAGUGAUAGCUCAUCCUCAAGGUCACUAAACUAUCUUACAUUGAUGGAAAAAUAGAUGAUCGCCCAACAAAUUUUCUCUUGUAUUUUCCGUCAAAACUCUCUGGAAUCCUUCGCUUUUAGCUUGCUCAUCUUAACUAGCAAAAGUACUUUGGAUCAUAAUCCUGGAUCUUUAUCCUUCUUGGUCAUUAAUCUCAAAAAUCUACAACAUAUGAAAGGAAAUAGUUCAAGGUAGCUUAAUUAGCAUAAAACUAUGUAUUUAUAUGAAAUUGGAGAUUUUCCUAUAUUACUUGCAAAAUAAGUUAUUAAACGCUUUAAUUAAAUAGGUCAAAUAACCAAAAUUUGGGAUAUAUACCAACUCUCUCCAACUUAGAAAUUUCUUUUGUCCUCAAACAAAAAUCCUCAAAAAAAUUUCAAAAAGUAAAUCAACAAUGAUGCAUAUUAAAGUUUGGCUUAAAUGCACUUUUAGUAACCCCCUAACUUUGUCCCUUUUUCAAGUAGUCAAUUUUGACUCGUGCGUGAUUAUAGUUGAACUAUGCAUGAUUCUACUAACUUUACCCCCUUUUACAAGUAGCCAAUCAUUUUGAAUCUUUGCACCAUGCAUGAUUCCACUAAAUUGCACAACUAAGACAAAUGUGCACAACCCUCCUAAGAUCAAAACAUGAAUAUGAGAAUGACUCGGAUUUAAGAAAAUCAUAAAUUACAGCGGGGUGUCUACAAAACAAACUAUGAAACUAGCAAUGCUCAACAACUCUAAAAAGGAAUCAAAGAAUCAAAAGUCAAACACAUCGACCACGAACAGAAACUCAACCGCAACAACUCUAGCACUGCCGUCGGCAGAUCCUGGAGCCAUAACCAUCAAGAACCCAUCCAGAUAUCUAAGAAAACCGAAAUUUUUGAAAUAUCUACCGUUAAAUAGAUCUGUGCAUACGACAUCCAACUUCUACCACUGUGAAGUAUGUGUAAAUGACCCUUGUAUGGACCACCGCCAUGAUAAAAGGCGGAGGUUGUUGAUGCUCACCCAAACAGAGGUUGCUGCGAACAGCCCAAACCAAUGGAGCUUUGGAGGACGUCAGGAGGAUGGAGACACCGCGAACUAGAACAACCUCAACCAAAAUAACCGAUGUCGAAAACGCCGACAAAUCUAGGAUGUGGGUGGUGCGGAAAAAGAAUUGAUUCUUUUUAAAUACAUAUAUUGCUUAUCGAAUAACGUUAGCAAUUCUCGUAGCAAUUGCAUGUGCAAAACGUAGUUGUAUAACUUGUUUUAUCAUCUAUUAAAAAGAAAUUUUAAAUGAAAUAUAUUUAUUAUAAUGAUUUAAUAAACGAU